RNAcentral lists this ribosomal RNA (1245 nucleotides) under Triticum aestivum (bread wheat). RNAcentral's name for it is "partial small subunit ribosomal RNA". Lineage: Eukaryota; Viridiplantae; Streptophyta; Magnoliopsida; Poales; Poaceae. The record is from RNAcentral.
AUGCCUCCUCCUUCGCCGCUGCCUCGGCACCGGCAGGAGCGCCGCGGGUGCGGCUGCUGGGCCGUGCUGACGAGGGGCCUGCGGGGCUCCUGCUUCCGCCCGGCGGCGGCGGCCGCCGCCGCCCCGGCCGGGGCCGCGGUCAAAGGCGGCCAUGUCUACGACGCAGCGGAGACAAGAUACCUAAACUCUAGCAAUCGAGAUCUUGCAGAUCAUUUUCAGAGGAAGCUUGGUGAAGAAAAUGGUGUUGACGCAUCAAUUGAGAAGAAAAUAUCACCCAAGCUACUUGAAUUCACUUUCCAAGAGCUUAAAUCUGCCACUGUUAACUUUAGACCAGACAGUAUUCUCGGAGAAGGUGGAUUUGGGUAUGUCUUCAAGGGGUGGAUUGAGCCGAACAGCACAGCUCCUGCAAAGCCCGGCACUGGUCUGACUGUAGCUGUCAAAAGUCUGAAGGAAAAUGCUCUUCAAGGUCAUAGAGAAUGGGUGGCGGAAGUUGACUUUCUGGGACAGCUGCAUCACAAACAUCUUGUUAAGCUGAUUGGAUACUGUAUUGAGGAUGACCAAAGACUGCUUGUAUAUGAAUUCAUGGCACGGGGAAGUCUAGAAAAUCAUCUUUUCAGAAGGACUCUUCCCCUACCUUGGCCGUGCAGGAUGAAGGUUGUUCUUGGUGCUGCUAAAGGUCUAGCCUUCCUACAUGUUGGUCCGAAACCAGUUAUUUACAGGGAUUUUAAGACAUCAAAUAUUCUUAUCGAUGCGGAUUACAAUUCAAAACUAUCAGAUUUUGGAUUAGCAAAAGCUGGUCCCCAAGGUGAUAAAACCCAUGUCUCUACUCGGGUUCUUGGCACCUAUGGCUACGCUGCGCCUGAGUAUGUAAUGACAGGCCACUUGACAACCAAGAGCGACGUGUAUAGCUUCGGAGUCGUGCUUCUCGAGGUGCUGACUGGCAGGAGAUCAGUGGACAAGAAGCGACCUCCGGGGGAGCAGAACCUCGUUGCAUGGGCGAGGCCGUAUCUGAGCGACCGGCGAAGGCUCUAUCAGCUCGUAGACCCUCGCCUGGGGCUGAACUAUUCCGUCAGAGGGGUUCAGAAGGUUGCACAGAUCUGCCACCACUGCCUCAACCGUGACAGCAAGUCGCGCCCGAUGAUGGAUGAAGUCGUCAAGCAUCUGACUCCGCUGCAGGACCUCAACGACAUGGCCGCCGCAUCGUAUAGGCCCCGGUCGUCACCCCGCGGAAAGGCGCGGCGGUGA